Molecule: transfer RNA, 72 nt
Filed under: bacterium
Lineage: Bacteria
Description: tRNA-Arg
Rfam family: tRNA
About the family: Transfer RNA (tRNA) molecules are approximately 80 nucleotides in length.
Source: RNAcentral
GCUCCCAUCGUUCAAUGGAUAGGACAUAACUUUGCGGAAGUUAAAAUGUUGGUUCGAUUCCAACUGGGAGCA